This 398-nucleotide ribosomal RNA is filed under the name uncultured bacterium. Its description in RNAcentral is "bacterial SSU rRNA". It matches the Rfam family "Bacterial small subunit ribosomal RNA", at positions 30 to 431 of the family's 1533-position model. The record is from RNAcentral.
AUUGAACGCUGGCGGCAUGCCUUACACAUGCAAGUCGAACGGCAGCACGGGGCAACCUGGUGGCGAGUGGCGAACGGGUGAGUAAUGCAUCGGAACGUGCCAUUGAGUGGGGGAUAACGUAGCGAAAGUUGCGCUAAUACCGCAUAUUCUGUGAGCAGGAAAGCAGGGGACCGCAAGGCCUUGCGCUCUUUGAGCGGCCGAUGUCAGAUUAGCUAGUUGGUGAGGUAACGGCUUACCAAGGCGACGAUCUGUAGCGGGUCUGAGAGGAUGAUCCGCCACACUGGAACUGAGACACGGUCCAGACUCCUACGGGAGGCAGCAGUGGGGAAUUUUGGACAAUGGGCGCAAGCCUGAUCCAGCCAAUGCCGCGUGAGUGAAGAAGGCCUCGGUUGUAAAGG